GAAGAACGCUAGCUACAGGCUUAACACAUGCAAGUCGAGGGGUAACGAGAGGAAAGCUUGCUUUCCUUGUCGACGACCGGCGCACGGGUGAGUAACGCGUAUCCAACCUGCCCCCAACUAGGGAAUAACCUUGCGAAAGUAAGACUAAUACCCUAUAAUUUCCUCAGAUGUCAUCUGACGAGGAAUAAAGAUUUAUCGGUUGUGGAUGGGGAUGCGUCUGAUUAGCUUGUUGGCGGGGUAACGGCCCACCAAGGCAACGAUCAGUAGGGGUUCAGAGAGGAAGGUCCCCCACAUUGGAACUGAGACACGGUCCAAACUCCUACGGGAGGAAGCAGUGAGGAAUAUUGGUCAAUGGGCGGAAGCCUGAACCAGCCAAGUAGCGUGUAGGAUGACGGCCCUAUGGGUUGUAAACUGCUUUUAUACAGGAAUAAAGUUAGCCACGUGUGGUUAUUUGUAGGUACUGUAUGAAUAAGGACCGGCUAAUUCCGUGCCAGCAGCCGCGGUAA
This 506-nucleotide ribosomal RNA is filed under the name uncultured bacterium. RNAcentral describes it as "partial 16S ribosomal RNA". It matches the Rfam family "Bacterial small subunit ribosomal RNA", at positions 28 to 523 of the family's 1533-position model. The record is from RNAcentral.